RNAcentral lists this ribosomal RNA (326 nucleotides) under uncultured Sandonidae. RNAcentral's name for it is "bacterial SSU rRNA". It matches the Rfam family "Eukaryotic small subunit ribosomal RNA", at positions 633 to 955 of the family's 1831-position model. The record is from RNAcentral. Lineage: Eukaryota; Cercozoa; Glissomonadida; Viridiraptoridae.
GAUUUCUGAUCUGUCAACAUUUAGCCGGCCACGGUUUCGUGUGUUAGUGUUAGAUGUUCUGAUCAUCCUUCCAAUUGCUGCACGCUUGAUCUUCAUUGAUUUUGUGUUGUAGUAUUGGAUCUUUUACUUUGAAAAAAUUAGAGUGUUUCAAGCAGGCUUUAUGCUAUGAAUACAUUAGCAUGGAAUAAUAAUUUAGGACUUCGGUUCUAUUUUGUUGGUUUCUAGGACUGAAGUAAUGAUUGAUAGGGACAGUUGGGGGUGCUAGUAUUCAGCGGCCAGAGGUGAAAUUCUCGGAUUCGCUGAAGACUAACUUAUGCGAAAGCAUU